UUAUUAAACUCAGUUUAAUAUCUGAUACCUUCUCUAUCUGAGAACUCUGUAUUAAAUGGAUUUUUGGAGCAGGGAGAUGGAAGAGGAGCGUAUUCCAUCCAAUCCACGCAUUAACCCGAUAUUGCAGCACUUCUGGGAAUGGUGC
Molecule: small nuclear RNA, 145 nt
Filed under: Chrysemys picta bellii (western painted turtle)
Lineage: Eukaryota; Metazoa; Chordata; Testudines; Emydidae
Description: U2 spliceosomal RNA (ENSCPBG00000011348.1)
Rfam family: U2 spliceosomal RNA
About the family: U2 is a small nuclear RNA (snRNA) component of the spliceosome (involved in pre-mRNA splicing). Complementary binding between U2 snRNA (in an area lying towards the 5' end but 3' to hairpin I) and the branchpoint sequence (BPS) of the intron results the bulging out of an unpaired adenosine, on the BPS, which initiates a nucleophilic attack at the intronic 5' splice site, thus starting the first of two transesterification reactions that mediate splicing.
Source: RNAcentral